Molecule: ribosomal RNA, 491 nt
Filed under: uncultured bacterium
Lineage: Bacteria
Description: partial 16S ribosomal RNA
Source: RNAcentral
GUAGUUAGCCGGAGCUUCCUCCUUGGGUACCGUCAUUUCUUCGUCCCCAAGGACAGAGGUUUACAACCCGAAAGCCUUCUUCCCUCACGCGGCGUUGCUGGGUCAGGGUUUCCCCCAUUGCCCAAUAUUCCCCACUGCUGCCUCCCGUAGGAGUUUGGACCGUGUCUCAGUUCCAAUGUGGCCGAUCACCCUCUCAGGUCGGCUACCCAUCGCGGUCUUGGUGGGCCGUUACCUCACCAACUAACUAAUGGGACGCGAGCCCAUCUUUUGGUGGAUUACUCCUUUCCUCGUUGCACCAUGCGAUGCUACGUUCUUAUGCGGUAUUAGCGUCGAUUUCUCGACGUUAUCCCCCUCCAAAAGGCAGGUUGCUCACGCGUUACUCACCCGUCCGCCACUAUCGAUUAGCUAAGCAAGCUUAUCUAAUCAACCGUUCGACUUGCAUGUGUUAGGCACGCCGCCAGCGUUCGUCCUGAGCCAGGAUCAAACUCUGA